This 249-nucleotide unclassified non-coding RNA is filed under the name Melitaea cinxia (Glanville fritillary). Its description in RNAcentral is "misc RNA ENSMCXG00005008777.1". Lineage: Eukaryota; Metazoa; Arthropoda; Insecta; Lepidoptera; Nymphalidae. The record is from RNAcentral.
GUUUAUGUGAAGUUAAUAAGUAUAGGAAAAUGAAAAACCGGGAAAAGCAAGUUAUGUUGGAUCUCGUCAAUGCAGAAAACAGAUUUCUGAUCAGCCAGCAACUCAAUCCUUUGGUAUGGAGAUGCUUAAAAGUGUAGGGUAGCCUGAAAUACCUGCUGAAGAGUUAAAGUCAGUUUCAUCGCCGCAAUUUCUCGAUGAGCAGUCAACUAAUAGUGAUGAACGACGACGAGUUUCUAAACGAAAAUAUAC